This 177-nucleotide non-coding RNA is filed under the name uncultured Selenomonas sp. The record is from RNAcentral. Lineage: Bacteria; Bacillati; Bacillota; Negativicutes; Selenomonadales; Selenomonadaceae.
GGUGUCGCAAGACUCAAAAGAGAAGCCGGUUGGAAGCCGGCGCGGUCCCGCCACUGUAGGGGGAGCGCAUCCGCACGGGAAAUCAGGAAUUUCCCGCGAACGUCACUGGAAGGGGCAGAGCCCUUCUGGGAAGGCGCGGAUACGCGAUGAACCAAGCCAGGAGAACUGCCUGUUCCG